RNAcentral lists this ribosomal RNA (253 nucleotides) under uncultured bacterium. Its description in RNAcentral is "partial 16S ribosomal RNA". It matches the Rfam family "Bacterial small subunit ribosomal RNA", at positions 524 to 776 of the family's 1533-position model. The record is from RNAcentral.
UACGUAGGUGGCAAGCGUUGUCCGGAAUUACUGGGCGUAAAGAGCGCGCAGGCGGCUGGUCAAGUCCGAUGUGAAAGCUCCCGGCUUAACUGGGAAAUUGCAUCGGAAACUGAUCGGCUUGAAGGUGGGGGAGGGUAGUGGAAUUCCCGGUGUAGUGGUGAAAUGCGUAGAUAUCGGGAGGAACACCAGUGGCGAAGGCGACUACCUGGCCCACUCUUGACGCUGAGGCGCGAAAGCUAGGGGAGCGAACGGG